GAUGAACGCUGGCGGCGUGCCUAAUACAUGCGAGUCGAGCGAACAGAUGAGGAGCUUGCUCCUCUGACGUUAGCGGCGGACGGGUGAGUAACACGUGGAUAACCUACCUAUAAGACUGGGAUAACUUCGGGAAACCGGAGCUAAUACCGGAUAAUAUAUUGAACCGCAUGGUUCAAUAGUGAAAGACGGUCUUGCUGUCACUUAUAGAUGGAUCCGCGCCGCAUUAGCUAGUUGGUAAGGUAACGGCUUACCAAGGCAACGAUGCGUAGCCGACCUGAGAGGGUGAUCGGCCACACUGGAACUGAGGCACGGUCCAGACUCCUACGGGAGGCAGCAGUAGGGAAUCUUCCGCAAUGGGCGAAAGCCUGACGGAGCAACGCCGCGUGAGUGAUGAAGGUCUUCGGAUCGUAAAACUCUGUUAUUAGGGAAGAACAAAUGUGUAAGUAACUAUGCACGUCUUGACGGUACCUAAUCAGAAAGCCACGGCUAACUACGUG
Molecule: ribosomal RNA, 497 nt
Filed under: uncultured bacterium
Lineage: Bacteria
Description: partial 16S ribosomal RNA
Rfam family: Bacterial small subunit ribosomal RNA
Source: RNAcentral